GAUUCGUUAGCUCAGUUGGUAGAGCACCUCCCUUUUAAGGAGGUGGUCCUGGGUUCGAGCCCCAGACGAAUCA
This 73-nucleotide transfer RNA is filed under the name Flavobacteriales bacterium. RNAcentral's name for it is "tRNA-Lys". It matches the Rfam family "tRNA". From Rfam's summary of the family: Transfer RNA (tRNA) molecules are approximately 80 nucleotides in length. Lineage: Bacteria; Pseudomonadati; Bacteroidota; Flavobacteriia; Flavobacteriales. The record is from RNAcentral. RNAcentral also lists the same sequence under 1 other name.